This 46-nucleotide non-coding RNA is filed under the name Trichobilharzia regenti. The record is from RNAcentral. Lineage: Eukaryota; Metazoa; Platyhelminthes; Trematoda; Strigeidida; Schistosomatidae.
GUUCUGCUGAAGAGUCCCAAACUGGGACGAAACAGCUAUCCAGUAC